CGCGUAGGUGGGAUAAUAAGUCUGAGGUGAAACUGACAGCUUAACUGUAAGCUAGCCUUGGAUACUGUUAUUCUUGAGUUCGGAAGAGGGAAGUGGAAUUCCUGGUGUAGCGGUGAAAUGCGUAGAUAUCAGGAAGAACACCAGUGGCGAAGGCGGCUUCCUGGUCCGAUACUGACACUGAGGCGCGAAAGUGUGGGGAGCAAACA
RNAcentral lists this ribosomal RNA (206 nucleotides) under uncultured bacterium. RNAcentral describes it as "partial 16S ribosomal RNA". It matches the Rfam family "Bacterial small subunit ribosomal RNA", at positions 568 to 774 of the family's 1533-position model. The record is from RNAcentral.